AACGGCGAGUGAAGCGGCAAAAGCUCAAAUUUGAAAUCUAGCACCUUCGGUGUUCGAGUUGUAAUUUGAAGAUGGUAACCUUGGGUUUGGCUCUUGUCUAUGUUCCUUGGAACAGGACGUCAUAGAGGGUGAGAAUCCCGUCUGAUGAGAUGCCCAUUCCUAUGUAAGGUGCUAUCGAAGAGUCGAGUUGUUUGGGAAUGCAGCUCUAAGUGGGUGGUAAAUUCCAUCUAAAGCUAAAUAUUGGCGAGAGACCGAUAGCGAACAAGUACAGUGAUGGAAAGAUGAAAAGAACUUUGAAAAGAGAGUGAAAAAGUACGUGAAAUUGUUGAAAGGGAAGGGCAUUAGAUCAGACUUGGUGUUUUACGAUUAUCUUCUCUUCUUGAGUUGUGCACUCGUAUUUCACUGGGCCAGCAUCGAUUCGGAUGGCAAGAUAAUGGCAGUUGAAUGUGGCUUCACUUCGGUGGAGUGUUAUAGCUUCUGCUGAUAUGGCCUGUCUGGAUCGAGGGCUGCGUCUUUUGACUAGGAUGCUGGCGUAAUGAUCUAAUGCCGCCC
This 552-nucleotide ribosomal RNA is filed under the name Hansenula anomala. RNAcentral's name for it is "eukaryotic LSU rRNA". It matches the Rfam family "Eukaryotic large subunit ribosomal RNA", at positions 85 to 650 of the family's 3401-position model. Lineage: Eukaryota; Fungi; Ascomycota; Saccharomycetes; Phaffomycetales; Wickerhamomycetaceae. The record is from RNAcentral.